GCUCAGGAUGAACGCUGGCGGCGUGCCUAAUACAUGCAAGUCGAGCGAACAGAUAAGGAGCUUGCUCCUUUGACGUUAGCGGCGGACGGGUGAGUAACACGUGGGUAACCUACCUAUAAGACUGGAAUAACUCCGGGAAACCGGGGCUAAUGCCGGAUAACAUGUUGAACCGCAUGGUUCUACAGUGAAAGACGGUCUUGCUGUCACUUAUAGAUGGACCCGCGCCGUAUUAGCUAGUUGGUGGGGUAACGGCCUACCAAGGCGACGAUACGUAGCCGACCUGAGAGGGUGAUCGGCCACACUGGAACUGAGACACGGUCCAGACUCCUACGGGAGGCAGCAGUAGGGAAUCUUCCGCAAUGGGCGAAAGCCUGACGGAGCAACGCCGCGUGAGUGAUGAAGGUCUUCGGAUCGUAAAGCUCUGUUGUUAGGGAAGAACAAAUGUGUAAGUAACUGUGCACAUCUGAC
Molecule: ribosomal RNA, 468 nt
Filed under: uncultured Staphylococcus sp.
Lineage: Bacteria; Bacillati; Bacillota; Bacilli; Caryophanales; Staphylococcaceae
Description: bacterial SSU rRNA
Rfam family: Bacterial small subunit ribosomal RNA
Source: RNAcentral